AAUAGAUACCCAGGUAGUCCACGCCGUAAACGAUGAGUGCUAAGUGUUAGAGGGUUUCCGCCCUUUAGUGCUGCAGCAAACGCAUUAAGCACUCCGCCUGGGGAGUACGGUCGCAAGACUGAAACUCAAAGGAAUUGACGGGGGCCCGCACAAGCGGUGGAGCAUGUGGUUUAAUUCGAAGCAACGCGAAGAACCUUACCAGGUCUUGACAUCCUUAUGCCAUCUCUAGAGAUAGAGCUUUCCCUUCGGGGACAUAAGUGACAGGUGGUGCAUGGUUGUCGUCAGCUCGUGUCGUGAGAUGUUGGGUUAAGUCCCGCAACGAGCGCAACCCUUGAUCUUAGUUGCCAGCAUUCAGUUGGGCACGUCUAAGGUGACUGCCGGUGACAAACCGGAGGAAGGUGGGGAUGACGUCAAAUCAUCAUGCCCCUUAUGACCUGGGCUACACACGUGCUACAAUGGAUGGUACAAAGGGCAGCGAAACCGCGAGGUUAAGCCAAUCCCAUAAAACCAUUCUCAGUUCGGAUUGCA
Molecule: ribosomal RNA, 528 nt
Filed under: uncultured bacterium
Lineage: Bacteria
Description: bacterial SSU rRNA
Rfam family: Bacterial small subunit ribosomal RNA
Source: RNAcentral